This 1536-nucleotide ribosomal RNA is filed under the name Triticum aestivum (bread wheat). RNAcentral describes it as "partial small subunit ribosomal RNA". The record is from RNAcentral. Lineage: Eukaryota; Viridiplantae; Streptophyta; Magnoliopsida; Poales; Poaceae.
AUGGAGGAGGUGCUGCGCGGCAAGCGGAGCUGGGUGACAUCGCGCGGCUGGCUGCUCCUCUGGGACCCGGCGACGCUCGCCACCAUCCUGUGGAACCCGCGGGCCGCCGCCUCUGAUGGGAGUAGGGGCAAAUGCCUUGGGCCAAGUGGAGCCAUCGUUGACAUCGCCGUCUACAGGGUGGAUCUCGCGGGCAAGAGGUUUAUCAGGGUGGGCAGCAUUGGCGACCGGGCCAUCCUCGCCGGCGGCUCGAGCUACGCUUUCGCAGGCUGGUGCCCGGCCAACGAGUUUGGGCAGCUGCCCAACAGCGUGUACUGGAUACACCCCUACGACGGCCGCAUGUACGUGUACGAAGUUGGAUUCAAUACGGAGGAAGAAGUCCCGGGUUCGGCGGAUGACUCGCGUGCCGGCAAUCAGCACGAAGGCGGCAGAGAUCCCCGCGGACGACUUCUCGUGGCGCAAGUACGGCAGAAGCCGCCUGUGGAGAAUGCCCUGGACUCAGCAGUUGACGCAACUCGGUUGAGCUGCGGUGCACUAUAUUUAGCUGAUUUUAUUGGGAAGUGGUGGAACCAGGGAGGUGGGAAUAAUUUCAGUAUUAAAACUGUGGGGGAAAGCAGACACGUAGGCGGGGGCGGCCGCGAGAACUACGACAAGCGCAUGCACUGCCUGUCCAAGGAGGAGGUCGUCGUGCAUGCGCGGAUGCGUCGCCGGGCCCAGUUCUCCUGCCGCACCUUCCGCAACAUCAUCGUCCUCUCCAUCAUCACUGAGGUAGGUCCGCUGCGGGUGCUCGUGCUUCUGGUUGAUUCGUCCUGCUGCGCCGGUCUUUGUUCUGCAGGGCCAUGUCUGUUGGUGCCACGAAACGGCCGUGGCACUGCUUGUGUGAGCCACGACGGCGCUACCCGCGCGCCUGCCCUGAAACGCUGCCGCGAGCCGAGCCGCCGGCGUUCAUCUGGAGAAGCGCGGGAAGAAGAAGAUGGAAAGUGUAGUCUGCAAGCUUCUCAAAUCUGGGUACUCUUUGUGGGUUCUUGCAGGCACAAGCAAGGGAAGACCAUCGCUUCGCUCCUCUGGGCCGCCGCUGCUCCAACCCUACUGGACGCCAUGCAAGUAACUUUUUCCCGCCUUGCUGGAGGAGAUGAAGCACAUGGCAAAGCAGGAGUUCAUUGCGCACUUAAGAAGCCAACUUGUCGAUUUAUAGGUUACAUUAGACAGAACUUCUCUUAUAGAUCAAGUCAUGUUUCUCACCAUCCUCCUCAUCAUGUAGCAGAGGAGGCGUCCUGGAGCGCGGUGGAGGCAUUUUGGGCGUGGAGCAUGGCCCGGAGCAUGGCCUUGCGGUUCCUGGAGCCUAGGGAGGCCAUGCGAGAAACCUGGGGCAGCAAGAGCAGAGGCCUGCGGAGCGCUCCCUGGGGCAAGGCCUGGGGCGAUCUGCAGGGAGGAGCAGAGGCCUGGAGCUGCGGGCAGAAGAGGUCUGGAGCUGCAGGGAGGAGCAGAGGCCUGGAGCCAGCGGCGAGAUCUGGAGGCGACGACGAGAGGAAGGAGUGA